RNAcentral lists this ribosomal RNA (305 nucleotides) under uncultured bacterium. Its description in RNAcentral is "bacterial SSU rRNA". It matches the Rfam family "Bacterial small subunit ribosomal RNA", at positions 337 to 639 of the family's 1533-position model. The record is from RNAcentral.
CCCUACGGGGCGCAGCAGUGAGGAAUAUUGGUCAAUGGGCGCGAGCCUGAACCAGCCAAGUCGCGUGAGGGAUGACGGUCCUACGGGUUGUAAACCUCUUUUGCCGGGGAGCAAGCGUGCGUUCGUGAACGCGCGUCGAGAGUACCCGGAGAAAAAGCAUCGGCUAACUCCGUGCCAGCAGCCGCGGUAAUACGGAGGAUGCGAGCGUUAUCCGGAUUUAUUGGGUUUAAAGGGUGCGCAGGCGGAAGAUCAAGUCAGCGGUAAAAUUGAGAGGCUCAACCUCUUCGAGCCGUUGAAACUGGUUU